Cynara cardunculus var. scolymus (artichoke) is the source of this 93-nucleotide long non-coding RNA. RefSeq lists it as uncharacterized. The transcript has 2 exons. The record is from RefSeq and is a predicted model, not a curated record. NCBI's taxonomy places the organism in Eukaryota, Viridiplantae, Streptophyta, Magnoliopsida, Asterales, Asteraceae.
GCCCUUUGGAAUCUCUCUUCUCUUGGCAAGGUGGCCCGAUCAUUAUGCUGCAGAUUGAAAAUGAGUAUGGGAAUAUUGAAAACUCUUAUGGAC